Molecule: long non-coding RNA, 1192 nt
Organism: Syngnathoides biaculeatus (alligator pipefish)
Lineage: Eukaryota; Metazoa; Chordata; Actinopteri; Syngnathiformes; Syngnathidae
Exons: 4
Source: RefSeq, a predicted model, not a curated record
AACACGUGGAAAUUGAAAAUAAGUCAUAGCUCGCACAUUUCUCAACAAUUUUUCUGAAUUUUUCGUCCACGCCAAAGCGUGUGGAAUAAAUAGAUAAUUUUUUUUUUUUUUUAGCAGUGCACUCUUUCCUUGACGUCAUUGCACGCAACGAUGUGCAGCACACCGUGCCGGCAUCGUUGGUCUUUCGGCAUUAAUACCGACCAGUCCGCACAUAAAAUGCGAUGAGAAUUUAGCUUGAGCCUUCUUGUAAAAGUUGGCGUCACCUUAGGCACGCAGCUCGAAAGGGGCGUGUUCUUUCUAACUAUUGUUCCCGUCUGUCCUAAUCCUCUUCAUCCUGACGAGUUCAAAAAUGUGGCGGAUACGUUGAGUUGUAAUCGACGACUCAAAAGUUGGACAAAGUCUCUUUCUUACCACUUAACGUUUCGGUUUUAGUGCCACAAUUUUGAAAGCUUUCAAGCGCGGCAUCACAUGGAAGCCACCUACAACAUAAGGAAGAGCUUGAUUUUUUUUUUUUUUUAUUAUUGCACGGGUCUUGAGUCAGGAGGUGGCACAUUUCUGCAUUUUAAUUCGUUGGUGCAGGAAUAUUCGCCUUGUGGCCAACGUGGUUUAUGAGGUGGUGAUGUUAAAGCUGAAAGGGAGUCAAGAGGACCAGGCACCAAAAGCAAGUUUGGGUCUUUUGAAGUCACUGUAGCUGGUUUAAUUACAGCCAUUCGUUUAAUUAUCUGUGAAUAAAGAUUUGGACAAACUGAUUUUUGUCUUCCAUAAUCUAUCUGCCUUGCGCCCUAGCGUAGCAUGCAAUUGCUGCAAUUAUAUGAUCUACCACAAGGUGCCAGUUAAACACAAGCCAUAAUGGACGGUCAGGCGUUUGUGAGUGUUCUGGUGGACCCUUAACAAUAUUUCAUGAAGCCAGCCUGAUUGCAAAGGAGUGGUGGUAUUUUAUCCAAAAUUGAAUUCAGCAUUAUUAAUCUGCUAAAAACUGGUGUCUAAAGGCAUAACAUGUGAACUCGACUGCACUUGCUGCUUUAAGGAAGUGUCAACAUCUAUCUAGAUUUGCAAAAAAUGUACUGCUAAGGCUGUCUCCUUGAGGAGAGUGAGCAUGUCAACUAUGUACAGUGAAAAUCUUUCCCAGGGUUGGGUCCUUGUUCAAGAUACACUAACUACAGUAAAUGUGAUAAAUUGUUCACCUGCUUGU